UUCCACCGGUCACAUCUCUCAAGGAGUCCUCUAAACAUUUCUCACCAGAGAUGCUACCUACUAAUAUUCCCUUGAGCAGUGUUCUAUACUGCCCUUUGAGCAGUCCUGUACACAAGUACAUGUACCUGAAGUGGCUAAUCCCUCAACUCAUGUUUCACUUGAUGUUUGCAAUGUCCAACCUAUGGUCACAAGGAGCAAAGUUGGUACAUUUGAGCCUGAAAUUCGAGCUUAUGCUUGAUCCAAAGUGUAGAAAGGCUGUGCAUGAAAAUCAAACCUGGUCUCCUAAUAGGAAGUUAGUAGGAUGAAAUGGAUUUCCGAAGUGAAGGAUCUGGCGGAUCAAUGGCUUUCAAUAGACCUUCAGCCUAGUGGUCAAAGCUAGCACUAUUCGAACUGUUCUUGCUCUAGCAGUUCAUCACAAAUGCUUU
Molecule: long non-coding RNA, 425 nt
Filed under: Gossypium barbadense (sea-island cotton)
Lineage: Eukaryota; Viridiplantae; Streptophyta; Magnoliopsida; Malvales; Malvaceae
Description: long non-coding RNA (GBAR_LNC008394)
Source: RNAcentral